Molecule: transfer RNA, 74 nt
Filed under: Streptomyces sp. CB00455
Lineage: Bacteria; Bacillati; Actinomycetota; Actinomycetes; Kitasatosporales; Streptomycetaceae
Rfam family: tRNA
About the family: Transfer RNA (tRNA) molecules are approximately 80 nucleotides in length. Their secondary structure includes four short double-helical elements and three loops (D, anti-codon, and T loops).
Source: Rfam by way of RNAcentral
AGGGGUGUAGCUCAGCUGGUCAGAGCGCCGGUCUCCAACACCGAAGGCCGCAGGUUCGAAUCCUGCCGCCCCUG